Molecule: long non-coding RNA, 944 nt
Organism: Zalophus californianus (California sea lion)
Lineage: Eukaryota; Metazoa; Chordata; Mammalia; Carnivora; Otariidae
Exons: 4
Source: RefSeq, a predicted model, not a curated record
CACACUUCUGCCUUUUGACUGUUCAGAGUCCCUAGGGCUGAUGCUCAGUCCAUGCAGACUGUAUGGCUACUCUGGUCGUAAAAAUUUGAAAUACUGACAUUCUGGUGGCAUGUCAAGCCUCUCAUGAGACGCAGAAGAUAAAUUUGGUGCCGUUCUGGAUUUUCCUUUUGGAAAGGGGGCUCCAUCCUUGAACAGAAGAUCAUAGCUCUGCCUGAGCUAGAAGUGUUUUGGGCAGUCAGGAAGACCUUGAAGUUUUAGAGACCAUUUAUAUCAAAGGCAUUAAAGUUAACCAGGCAUCGCAACUGAACUUAAGAUAGGAGUGGAGGUGAAAGUGUUUUAAAAAGAAAACAGGACUCAUCCUGGCUUCCACAGAAAAGGAACAUUCCUUUCUCUUUUGAUGAGAAGAGUCAAUGGAUGCUGGACCAGAGCAGGCACAAACUUGUUCAGGAAGAGGAUAUUUGCAUAGUCUGGAAAUGUUUCCCCCCAUAAUGCUGUUGUUAUAGAGAACAAAUGGUAACUUCACAAUGAUCAAAAUUAACAGCAUCAAUAAUGGGACAGAUUGACAUGCUGUGCCCCCUGAUGUGAUCGAGCAAGAAGAAGACAGUCUUGCUUCUGUGCUGUUCUUGAACAAAGUUGCAUAACCUGAAUCUAAUUGUGAGGAAACAUUAGACAAAUGCACAUCGAGGGAGAUUUUACAAAACGAUUGGCCUGUACUCCUCAAACUGUACCCAGCCGUGGAAGAUGAGGAAAGACUGCAGAACUACUUCAGGCAGAAGAGACCGGACCACUGUAUGUCAUCCUGAACCAUAAAUUUUGUUUUUGUGUUUGUUUUUGGACAAUUGGCAAAUUUUGAAUGGGGCCAUAGAUUAAAUGGCAGUGAUGUAUUAAUGUUAAUUUCCUGGGCUUGGUGAUUGUACUGUCAUUAGGAGAGUGGCCUUGUUUCC